GGAGCUGAUCGCUGCUGGUUUGGAAUUUCUAAAGCAGUGAUGUGAGCAGGUGGAAAUAAAUUGUAAGCCUCAGCUUCUCAGGGAUUAUAUAUUUUUCCACGCUAUGAUCAACAUAUGAGAGCUAUAGCACAGACAGAAGGAAUACACUGUGAGAAUUCUUCUUUUCAUCUCAUAAUAUUGAUAUGAACACAUUCCACUCUCAGCUGAUACAGAGAAUGGACACGGGAAGAACAGGAUGGAGUGAAGGGAGCAAGAGAAGAGUGUAAAGCACAAGAAUAGAAGUGAUGGAGUUGGGGAGAGACAAUGUAAAAAUCAUGAUAAAGAAAUGUUCUCAGAUAGUUCAGGCCAUCUGCUGUUAUGCCAUAAGCCGUAUCCAUCAGUGUCUGCACACCUGGGAGCUCAGGGCGAGGAAGGGCUUUUUUUUCAGCACAGACCUGCCAAGAGUAUUAUUUCAACAAGGAAUGGGAGA
Molecule: long non-coding RNA, 469 nt
Organism: Mauremys reevesii (Reeves's turtle)
Lineage: Eukaryota; Metazoa; Chordata; Testudines; Geoemydidae
Exons: 3
Source: RefSeq, a predicted model, not a curated record